AUUCUCCAGACUGAUAACGGCAAAGAAUUUAAUAAUGCUGAUCUUUGUGCAGUAAUUGAUGAGUUUAAGACAAGAAAAAUUAAUGGUCGUCCGUACCAUCCCCAAUCACAAGGACGUGUAGAAAGAUUUAACAGGACUGUAGUCGCAUACUUUAGAGCCCAAUUUGUUGAUACUAGAGAUUGGCCAAGUUUACUAGGAGAAUUUUAUUAUAAAUACAACAACAGAGUCAACAAAUCUACUAGACCCAUGACACCUCACCAAAGAUUUUUUUAAGAGGCCAAAUUUUUCAAUGGCAUUAGAAGAACAGGUUGCAAAGUGUAAUUUGACUAAAGAGGAAAAAGAAUUUUUAGAAAUGGCUCACUUGGAUGUUGAAGAAGAUGAUGACGACAACAAUAACUUGGCCUUAAAUGAAAACUUAAAAUCAGUGAAAAUUAAUGAAAUUACAGAUACAGAAGAGAGUCAUAUUAAUCAGGUAUAAAAAUAGCUGUAAUAAUAUUUUAAAUAAAAAAUAACGAAACUGGUAAAAUAA
Molecule: long non-coding RNA, 529 nt
Organism: Mytilus trossulus (common blue mussel)
Lineage: Eukaryota; Metazoa; Mollusca; Bivalvia; Mytilida; Mytilidae
Exons: 3
Source: RefSeq, a predicted model, not a curated record